UCCCUGGUGGUCCAGUGGUUAAGACUGCAGGCUCCCAGUGCAGAGGGCCCAGGUUCGAUCCCUGGUCAGGGAA
Non-coding RNA from Bos taurus (domestic cattle), 73 nucleotides. The record is from Rfam. NCBI's taxonomy places the organism in Eukaryota, Metazoa, Chordata, Mammalia, Artiodactyla, Bovidae.